Molecule: long non-coding RNA, 370 nt
Organism: Sebastes umbrosus (honeycomb rockfish)
Lineage: Eukaryota; Metazoa; Chordata; Actinopteri; Perciformes; Sebastidae
Exons: 3
Source: RefSeq, a predicted model, not a curated record
CGUUCAGAGUACCGUUAAAGUACCGGAUCAAUAAGCAGUAUUGGCAAGAGUAGUAAAUAUAAGAAUCGGAACCAAAACAACUUGAUCGGGACGUCCCAAGAUUGUUUCCUCUGCGUGUGUGCGUUUUAACAGCCAAUAAGAGGAGGGAGGACCCGCUGACAAGUUGCUUACACUUGGGAAACCCGUCCCAGACAAAGGAAAAGUUGGCGAAAGGGGAAAACUGCUCUGCGGCAGCCAAGUCGAGACCAAAACCUCCUUCAGAGCAUCAAAAGACACAUGCUAGAUUUUUAAGUACCAUCCACCAUUGAACUACGAUUAACUGGCAUUUAAUUAAGAAUAAACUACCGUCAGCCAUAUUGUGAGUUAAAUG